Non-coding RNA from Drosophila melanogaster (fruit fly), 305 nucleotides. Lineage: Eukaryota; Metazoa; Arthropoda; Insecta; Diptera; Drosophilidae. The record is from Ensembl.
GUUUUUUGUUUGAUGGGUGUAUAAUUCUAGUUUUUUUUUUUGAAGGAUUAUUAUUGCAUCUCACGAAAGGGAAGACGGAAUUCAGGCGGAAAACUCUGCACAACAUAUAAAAACAAAGCCCUUAGGUAACGGAAGUUGGAAGAGUCAAUGUCUACAACCACAACUAAAUCAACUGACGGUCGAAUGGAAUGCGAGUGUACGUAAUGGCUGUCUACAAAACCCGGAACUGAUAGACAAGAUAUUUAUACAAAAGAAAUAAAAUGUAGGCAUAUAUUAAAUUAAGUAAAAGCGUUAUAGAAUGUAAC